RNAcentral lists this ribosomal RNA (409 nucleotides) under uncultured bacterium. Its description in RNAcentral is "bacterial SSU rRNA". It matches the Rfam family "Bacterial small subunit ribosomal RNA", at positions 335 to 734 of the family's 1533-position model. The record is from RNAcentral.
ACUCCUACGGGAGGCAGCAGUGGGGAAUAUUGCACAAUGGGGGAAACCCUGAUGCAGCCAUGCCGCGUGUGUGAAGAAGGCCUUGGGUUGUAAAGCACUUUCAGUAGGGAGGAAGGUAGUGUAGUUAACACCUGCAUUAUUUGUACGUUACCUACAGAAGAAGCACCGGCUAACUCCGUGCCAGCAGCCGCGGUAAUACGGAGGGUGCGAGCGUUAAUCGGAAUUACUGGGCGUAAAGCGCAUGCAGGCGGCUUGUUAAGUCAGAUGUGAAAGCCCGGGGUCUUAACCUCGGAAUUGCAUUUGAAACUGGCAGGCUAGAGUCUUGUAGAGGGGUUAGAAUUUCAGGUGUAGCGGUGAAAUGCGUAGAGAUCUGAAGGAAUACCGAGUGGCGAAGGCGGCCCCCGUGGAC